GUAAGAUUGUGUUAAAUUCUAUGAAGAAUCUUGGAAAUUGAUCUCAGAAAGCUUCUGUCCUGACUGCUGACGCUCGAAAAAAUUCCCCUGUAGUUGUAUAGCAUUGAAGCAUCGGUCAGGUUUUUUUUCUUUAUGGAGUACUUUUGAAGCAUUGUGCCCAGAGACAUCAAGAUCACACUCACAAGGACUUGGAUGGCGAGCCCCAGCCCAGAGGACCGAGUGAACCAGUAGAUGGUGACCUACCAGCCGUGAAAUAUUGAAAAAAAAAAAAUUUACGAACACAUUGCAAAGACUAAACAAACUUUGAAAGAACAUUUGACAGAGACAUCAAAAAGACUGGGUUAUUUCUUUUAUUUUAAUUUUUUUUAAAAAGCGCACAGUUUUUGUUUAUUUGUACAA
Molecule: long non-coding RNA, 399 nt
Organism: Poecilia reticulata (guppy)
Lineage: Eukaryota; Metazoa; Chordata; Actinopteri; Cyprinodontiformes; Poeciliidae
Source: RefSeq, a predicted model, not a curated record